This 481-nucleotide ribosomal RNA is filed under the name uncultured bacterium. Its description in RNAcentral is "partial 16S ribosomal RNA". It matches the Rfam family "Bacterial small subunit ribosomal RNA", at positions 28 to 507 of the family's 1533-position model. The record is from RNAcentral.
GACGAACGCUGGCGGCAUGCUUAACACAUGCAAGUCGAACGAAGCACUUUAUUUGAUUUCCUUCGGGACUGAUUAUUUUGUGACUGAGUGGCGGACGGGUGAGUAACGCGUGGGUAACCUGCCUUGUACAGGGGGAUAACAGUUGGAAACGGCUGCUAAUACCGCAUAAGCGCACAGCAUCGCAUGAUGCAGUGUGAAAAACUCCGGUGGUAUAAGAUGGACCCGCGUUGGAUUAGCUAGUUGGUGAGGUAACGGCCCACCAAGGCGACGAUCCAUAGCCGACCUGAGAGGGUGACCGGCCACAUUGGGACUGAGACACGGCCCAAACUCCUACGGGAGGCAGCAGUGGGGAAUAUUGCACAAUGGGCGAAAGCCUGAUGCAGCGACGCCGCGUGAGCGAAGAAGUAUUUCGGUAUGUAAAGCUCUAUCAGCAGGGAAGAUAAUGACGGUACCUGACUAAGAAGCACCGGCUAAAUACGUG